Molecule: small nuclear RNA, 281 nt
Filed under: Myotis davidii
Lineage: Eukaryota; Metazoa; Chordata; Mammalia; Chiroptera; Vespertilionidae
Description: 7SK RNA
Rfam family: 7SK RNA
About the family: 7SK was discovered as an abundant small nuclear RNA in the mid-70s but a possible function has only recently been suggested. Two independent studies have found that 7SK RNA binds the CDK9/cyclin T complex (known as elongation factor P-TEFb).
Source: Rfam by way of RNAcentral
GCAUAAUGCUCUCCAGUUCACCCCAUUGAUCUCCAGGGUUGAUUUGGCUGAUCUGGCUGGCUAGGCGGGUGUCUCCCUCCUCCCUCACCGAUCCAUGUGCGUCCCUCCCGAAGCUGUGCACUCAAAGAGGACGACCUUCCCCCCCGAGGAGAGGACCGGUCUUUGGUCAAGGGUAUAGGAGUAGCUGUGCUCCCCUGCUAGAACCUCCAAACAAGCUCUCAAGGUCUUUGGAUAUUUCUUUAGGGCCAAUUCAUUUCUGAUGGUUUCAAUACACCAUUCAG